This 410-nucleotide long non-coding RNA is filed under the name Cyanistes caeruleus (blue tit). RNAcentral's name for it is "lncRNA (ENSCCEG00000008205.1)". The record is from RNAcentral. Lineage: Eukaryota; Metazoa; Chordata; Aves; Passeriformes; Paridae.
CUCAGAUGGGCUGUUUGGAGUCUAGAGGUGCCUGGGCUCCAGAAAGUGUCCAGUUCCCAACUGAGGAAUUGCCCAGUGUGACAUGGGCAUCGAGGUAGCUCUGAAUUAUCUUCACAGGAGGUAACUGUGGGAGCACAUCAAGGAGCAGAGGGCUCAGUGCAGGACCUCGUGUCCAUGUCCUGCACCAUCCCCACGCCAGGACAAACCCACACUGAGCCCCAGGACCUCAUGCCUUCCACCCCCAGACAAGAAGCAUCAGUCUGGCUCUAGAGGAGAUGCUGUUGCUGCUUUUUCAAGCUGGACCUGAAAGAUCACUGCAAACCAAGGCUCAACCUCCACUCCAGGCUCCCAGAACGAGACAUCCCACGGAAGCAUCAGUAAGGUGACAGUGGGAUUCACUGGAAUCUUCC